This 332-nucleotide ribosomal RNA is filed under the name uncultured bacterium. RNAcentral describes it as "bacterial SSU rRNA". It matches the Rfam family "Bacterial small subunit ribosomal RNA", at positions 568 to 898 of the family's 1533-position model. The record is from RNAcentral.
CGCGUAGGCGGCCUGACAAGUCAGAUGUGAAAGCCCCGAGCUUAACUCGGGAAUUGCAUCUGAAACUGUUUGGCUUGAGUCCUGGAGGGGAUAGUGGAAUUCCCAGUGUAGCGGUGAAAUGCGUAGAUAUUGGGAGGAACACCUGCGGCGAAGGCGGCUAUCUGGACAGUGACUGACGCUGAGGCGCGAAAGCUAGGGGAGCGAACGGGAUUAGAUACCCCGGUAGUCCUAGCUGUAAACGAUGGGCACUUGGUGUUGGGGGUAUUGAGUCCCUCGGUGCCGGAGUUAACACGUUAAGUGCCCCGCCUGGGGAGUACGGUCGCAAGACUGAA